AUGGAUCAAGCAAUUCUUCUCCUUAUUUUAUUAAAAUGUUUAUUUAAGGGUUCAGAGAGUCUAGACUGUGACCAAGUGAAGAAGCCCACUAGAGCAGUCUCGAUGGAGUGGACUGAAUUGCUCAAAGGAGAAGAUCCGGACUAUUACACUGUUACAUACCAGCACACAGAUGCUCUCAGUCAAAAAAAUGUAAGAAACAUUUCUAAAGUUGAACAGAAACCCGUCAGUACUACAAUUCUGCUUGAGGAAAAUAAGAAGUACGAUAUUACAAUAGAAUCCCUAAAAAAUGGCCGAGUCUUAAGUGUAAAAUCAUUUCAGACACGUAAGUAGAGUACCACAAAAAUGUUUUGGUAUCGUUAUAGUUAGUCUAAUACUGAAGACUAAAGAAGUAGGUGUUGAAAUCCUGAGCUUAGUCGUGUAUUUAGAAACUUUGCAUCUAUGUAUGUUUUCAGCCAUGAAGAGUAGAAGGAACAGAUUUAUAUAACUCCUUUGGUUAGUGUAACAGUUCUGCUGCAUGGGACUGGUAUAGAAGCUUGGAAGAUUUUUAAGUGUUACAGUCUUUGCUAUACUAUAGUAGUUCUAGGAGAAGAGAUUUAUAAAAGAGGACCAUGGAGAAAGUUACUUAAAGCCUUCCAAUUUCCUAUCAAUG
This 649-nucleotide long non-coding RNA is filed under the name Calidris pugnax (ruff). RNAcentral's name for it is "lncRNA (ENSCPUG00000003220.1)". The record is from RNAcentral. Lineage: Eukaryota; Metazoa; Chordata; Aves; Charadriiformes; Scolopacidae.